Unclassified non-coding RNA from Callithrix jacchus (white-tufted-ear marmoset), 301 nucleotides. It matches the Rfam family "Metazoan signal recognition particle RNA". From Rfam's summary of the family: The signal recognition particle (SRP) is a universally conserved ribonucleoprotein. It is involved in the co-translational targeting of proteins to membranes. The eukaryotic SRP consists of a 300-nucleotide 7S RNA and six proteins: SRPs 72, 68, 54, 19, 14, and 9. Lineage: Eukaryota; Metazoa; Chordata; Mammalia; Primates; Cebidae. The record is from Ensembl.
GCUGGGUGCGGUGGCGUGUGCCUGUAGUCCCAGCUACCCGGGAGGCUGAGGUGGUAGGAUUGCCUGAGCCCAGGAGUUCAGGGCUGUAGUGUGCUAUGCCGAUCAGGUGUUUGCACUAAGUUGGGCAUCAAUAUGGUGACCUUCUGGAAGCAGGGGACCACCAAGUUGCCUAAGGAGGGGUAAACUGGCCCAGGUUGGAAAUGGAGCAGGUCAAAACUCCUGUGCUGAUCAGGAGUGUGAUUGCACCUAUGAAUAGCCACUGCUCUCCAGCCUGGGCAACAUAGCGAGACCCCCAUCUGUU